Molecule: ribosomal RNA, 253 nt
Filed under: uncultured bacterium
Lineage: Bacteria
Description: partial 16S ribosomal RNA
Rfam family: Bacterial small subunit ribosomal RNA
Source: RNAcentral
UACAGAGGUCCCAAGCGUUGUUCGGAUUCACUGGGCGUAAAGGGUGCGUAGGUGGUCGGGUCAGUCUGAGGUGAAAUCUCCGAGCUUAACUCGGAAACUGCCUUGGAUACUAUCCGGCUGGAGGGUUGGAGGGGGGACUGGAAUACUUGGUGUAGCAGUGAAAUGCGUAGAUAUCAAGUGGAACACCAGUGGCGAAGGCGAGUCCCUGGACAACUCCUGACACUGAGGCACGAAAGCUAGGGGAGCAAACAGG